CAGCGGCAGUGUGCGCCGCGGAAGUGGCCGAGGUGCCGUGGCUGGUGCCGAGCCGUCCUCAGACGCUGGCGCGACCGACGGACGGUCGCGGUGGACGGCUUCGGAGCGAGAGAUCCCAGCGCAUUGGUCAGAGGGACCGACGCGCCAGCUGGUGGGAACCUCCUGCUCCUGCGGCGAGAAGACUGUUGAUUUGCUUCUGCCUGUCUUUGUCCAGCUGAUCGGAGCGCGCGGGCGGUGGAGUGGAGUGGAGUGGGACGCAGUGGACUGAUCGGAGCGCGCGAGCGGUGGAGUGGGACGCAGUGGACCGAGGAGGUCGGAUCGAAGUAGACACGUCGCCCUCUGGGCUGAUAUCGGGGGGCUGGCCACGUAGGCUGGUCUGGUCUCGUUGGCGAACGAGCACGGCAGAUCCUGCUCGCGUGUUGAGCGUUCGUAUUCGUGGUGCGCAGUUGGAACUGGAUUGGACAUAGCGAAGGCCGAUCCGUACAGUGAGUGUGCGGGAAGUGCUGAUCAGACUGCACUGGCGGAUAGGUGAACUUGCUCGAUCAGCGCUGGUGAACGGGUGGACUUGCUCGGUCAGCGUUGGCGGAUGGGUGGACUUGCUGGAGAGGAAGGCUGCACAUGGAAUGAAGAGAGCGAACAGCCGUUGGACUGACGAGCGUUCUCGGAUGAGCCGUCGCGCCGCUGGGCCGUCCGCUCAAUGUUGAGAUGGCAGCUCGUCUCCACGCGUGCACUGAAGCUGCCAUAGGCCUGUGACGCCACCGCGCGACCAUGUACCGGCAGCGCGACCUCAAUCCGCGCCGGUAGCUCGGGCGCCGCACCGCUCCCAGCAGAACGAGGCUCCCCGCUCGGCUGCCGCUCGGCUGCCGCUUGGCUGCUCGGUCGGCUGUCCGACCUCACUGAGCCAGACGCGCUCCCAGCUCGCUCCCGACGCGCUCCCAGCUGGCUCCCGGCUCCGCCAGAGCGCAGGAGGAGCGCCGCCGCCGGCUGAGCGGCGGGCGGCGCCCGGGUGCGACCCGCGCGCGACGGCGUCCCCGCCGGCGCCGGGCGCGUCCCGGCCGGACGACCAUGCCGCCGCCGGCGUGACUCGUGACUCGUGAGUCGUGCCCCGUGACUGGUGAGUCGUGACCCGUGGUCUGGGAGCGGGACGUGCGACAGUGACCCCGCCCCAGGACCGGAGUGUCGCCGGAAGAGCGCGGCGGACAGGAACGGCCGCGCGACGCAGCAGGGAUUCGUCGAGCUUCAGCGCCGGUGACAGCGCGCCCGCACGAUGGGCCACCAAGAGUCGGGGGUCUCGCCGUUCGCGGCCCUCGCCGACCGGCCGCUCUACAGAGCCGACGCCGGCAGCAAGGGCGGCGGCCGCUACAGUCGGGAGGGUGUG
Molecule: long non-coding RNA, 1378 nt
Organism: Pollicipes pollicipes
Lineage: Eukaryota; Metazoa; Arthropoda; Thecostraca; Pollicipedomorpha; Pollicipedidae
Exons: 4
Source: RefSeq, a predicted model, not a curated record